RNAcentral lists this small nuclear RNA (23 nucleotides) under Arabidopsis thaliana (thale cress). RNAcentral's name for it is "snRNA_05742". The record is from RNAcentral. Lineage: Eukaryota; Viridiplantae; Streptophyta; Magnoliopsida; Brassicales; Brassicaceae.
UUUUUCACGUAAUGGUCAUCCGA